AGAAAUUAAAAAGAGAUAGAGAGAAUCAGGCUAAAAAAAGAUAAUCAUCUGCACAUCCAUUGAAACCCUCUCUACGGCAUUCAGUACAGUGAGGGUUCUAAUUUCAUGUCUGAGCCUCGUUGCAUUGAGACCAAGCUUUUAUUUGCUUAUACAUUUGUCGAGUCUCAAAUUUAUCAGUUGAAAGUUGUUACAGCAAGUACAAAAAUAGAGCACACAC
RNAcentral lists this long non-coding RNA (217 nucleotides) under Elaeis guineensis (African oil palm). Its description in RNAcentral is "long non-coding RNA (EGUI_LNC023870)". The record is from RNAcentral. Lineage: Eukaryota; Viridiplantae; Streptophyta; Magnoliopsida; Arecales; Arecaceae.